GGGGAAUAUUGCGCAAUGGGCGAAAGCCUGACGCAGCGACGCCGCGUGAGGGAUGAAGGUUUUCGGAUCGUAAACCUCUGUCAGAAGGGAAGAAACCGCACCGUGCUAAUCAGCGGUGCAUUGACGGUACCUUCAAAGGAAGCACCGGCUAACUCCGUGCCAGCAGCCGCGGUAAUACGGAGGGUGCAAGCGUUAAUCGGAAUUACUGGGCGUAAAGCGCACGUAGGCUGCUUUGUAAGUCAGGGGUGAAAUCCCACGGCUCAACCGUGGAACUGCCUUUGAUACUGCUUAGCUUGAAUCCGGGAGAGGGUGGCGGAAUUCCAGGUGUAGGAGUGAAAUCCGUAGAUAUCUGGAGGAACAUCAGUGGCGAAGGCGGCCACCUGGACCGGUAUUGACGCUGAGGUGCGAAAGCGUGGGGAGCAAAC
RNAcentral lists this ribosomal RNA (425 nucleotides) under uncultured bacterium. RNAcentral's name for it is "bacterial SSU rRNA". It matches the Rfam family "Bacterial small subunit ribosomal RNA", at positions 356 to 773 of the family's 1533-position model. The record is from RNAcentral.